Molecule: non-coding RNA, 84 nt
Organism: Rhizodiscina lignyota
Lineage: Eukaryota; Fungi; Ascomycota; Dothideomycetes; Aulographales; Rhizodiscinaceae
Source: the annotation of a GenBank genome assembly
GACUAACUGUAAACAGAGUGGUAAAGCGUCUCACUCGUAUGUUACGAAAUGAGAAGAUCGAUAGUUCGAUUCUGUCAGUGGGCA